GAAGAGAUAGCUAAGUGGUUUAAAGCGAUAGACUGUAAAUCUAUUGACAAAAUGUCUUCGCAGGUUCGAAUCCUGUUCUCUUCA
Molecule: transfer RNA, 84 nt
Filed under: Cyanidiaceae sp. MX-AZ01
Lineage: Eukaryota; Rhodophyta; Bangiophyceae; Cyanidiales; Cyanidiaceae
Description: tRNA-Tyr
Rfam family: tRNA
About the family: Transfer RNA (tRNA) molecules are approximately 80 nucleotides in length. Their secondary structure includes four short double-helical elements and three loops (D, anti-codon, and T loops). Further hydrogen bonds mediate the characteristic L-shaped molecular structure. tRNAs have two regions of fundamental functional importance: the anti-codon, which is responsible for specific mRNA codon recognition, and the 3' end, to which the tRNAs corresponding amino acid is attached (by aminoacyl-tRNA synthetases). tRNAs cope with the degeneracy of the genetic code in two manners: having more than one tRNA (with a specific anti-codon) for a particular amino acid; and 'wobble' base-pairing, i.e. permitting non-standard base-pairing at the 3rd anti-codon position.
Source: RNAcentral